Peromyscus californicus insignis is the source of this 2518-nucleotide long non-coding RNA. RefSeq lists it as uncharacterized. NCBI's taxonomy places the organism in Eukaryota, Metazoa, Chordata, Mammalia, Rodentia, Cricetidae. The transcript has 2 exons. The record is from RefSeq and is a predicted model, not a curated record.
UCCUAACACAGAUUUAUUCCUCUUCUAAAAACUAAAUGGAUUUCUCCUCCAGGUAGUCUCCUUCCUUAGAUACUCCUGAAAGCCCAUGCAGCUGAGGCGGUUUUAAGAAGGUCUCCACCGACAGUGUCUGCAGAAACCACACAAACCCCCCUCCUCACUUUGAUGCAUCAUUGGAUGCAGGAGAAGAGAUUCAUGGAAAGAAGACUCAUGGAGAUGGCCUUGCAGAGGAGAAUGGUCCUGUCUGAAGGGGAGGCAAGAAGGGAGGCAGGCUGGAGAGCAACAUCUCAGCAAAGGCCCAGAGUGCCACAGUUGUCCCCAUGGCCUGGCCCCAUACUUCCUUCUCAUUAUAACACCGACACUUUUCAGUGGGGAAAGCACCUCUCCUCUAUUCAGCUUAUGCAGUCUGACUUAAGUGUCCUCCACACCUACUAUCAAGCCUGGUCUCAUGAUACUGACCGGAAUAGUUGAGAACUACAUUCCUGGAGAAUAAAAACCACCCCCUGCAUUUGGUUCGGGAGGCACAGGGCGUGGUCCAGGUUCAUGUCUUGAAGCUCACUCCUGCACUGAGUGAAGAGAGAAGCACUCAGUGAAGCGAUGAAAGAGCUAGAGGUGAGAAUGUCACCACAGGUGACAGGAGCAAAGGGGAAAGCUAUGGAGCUGCAAAGACGGGUAAGGCAUUCACCAAGUUACUUCAGGUUUCCUAGUGGAUGAGCAUGCUGGUAUGAGCUGUAAUUCCUGCAGAAAUGGAUUACAGAGAAGUGGAGGCAGGAGGAUCCAGAGUUCAAGGCCAGCCUCAGAUACACAGUGAGAGCCUGCCUUAAAAGAGAAGGAAGCAGUUAAGUUCUUCUCACUCACAGAAGACAAACCUACUGAGUUCAAAUCAAUAGCAGAGCAUGUUAGGAUGGGCUGGGACCACCUCUCACAGAGAGUUUGGUAGUGUCUAAGUAAAAAGUGUCUAUCAUCAGAGGGAAGUUUUGCAUAGACUGUUUUGUACCCUGGAAAUUCAUAUGCUGGAACCAUAACUUAAUAUGUGAUAGUAUUUGGAGAGGGGUCCUUUGGAAGUCAUGAGGGUAGAGCUCUAUGAUGAGAUUAAGUGUCCUUAAGAGAACACUCAUAUCAUUCUAACAUCUCUCUGGCACAGCAGAACGCAGGAGGCUCCUCAGAGCCUGGCCAUGUCAACACCAUGAUUAGAUGACCAGAGCUGUGAGAAACACCUGGUUAAGCUGACAAGCCUGGGGUGCUUUGUUACGGUAGUAAACGCUGACUAUAUAUGGUAGCAUCUGCUGAGUAUGAGCAACACAGGUAGCAAUAGGAUCGGAUUUGCCUAUCCCUCCAAGUCCUGCUUAUAUCCCCAACACUGGUUAGCAGUGUUUUCCAUUUUUAAGUUAGAAACAAGUGGCAGGGAAGAGGGACAGGAGAGAAAAGGAUCAAAGGGAAUGAGAUCUUCCCAGUCACACUGAAAAGCCGCACAGGGCAGAGGACACGGAGCAUCUGCCUACGUGAAAGGCCCAGGGCUGGAUCCAGCACUGUAGAACCAGCAGGAGAAGAAAGAAGACAACACCGACAGGAAAAAGAGGAAAUCUAGAGUUCUGCUGACGGGACUGCACCGAUGGAUUCUGGCAAGUGGACCACAGUUCUGUAUGUUCACUUGGGGGAAGCUAUGAGGGGUAUUUAGGAACCACACAGGGUCUUCCCAUUAACUUUCUUCAGUGUCUGACUUACUGGGGGAGGGGAGUACACAGAGGCCACACUUGCACGUGUGCAAGUCAGAGGGUAGGUGGUAAGAGUUCCUUCUCUCUCUCCUCCAUGUGGUUUCCAGGGACUCGAACUCAGGUCCUCAGGCUUGGCAGCAAACUUCACCUGCUGAGCUGAGUCACUUUGCCACCCUACUCAGCGUUUUUGUAAAUCUAAAAUAAUCCUACCAUUUUCGUUUACAAAAACAAAGUGUGCAUUGUUUAGCUUCUUUCAGAGUUAAAUAAUUAAAAUCAUGAAGUAGGGACCAGAGAGAUGUCUUGGGUUAAGAGCUCUAUAACCACGAGGGGCAGAGUUUGGAUUCCGACACCAGAUAACAAGUUGGGUGUUCGCUGCAAAUGCCUGUAACCCAGCUUUAAGCACGGAAGACUGCGAGGAUCACUAGGGUUUGAUGGCUUUCACACCAGCUAAAAUGUGAGCCCUGCGUUCAGAAAGAGAGUCUGACUCAGAGGAACAGGCAGAGAGUGGAAGAAGGAAGACACCUGCACUUCCAGCCUCAGUAUGCACAUGUGUAUACAUGCAAUGUACAUACAUUCACACAGACAUGCACACAGAUAAGUAAAUAAGUACAGAUAAAAUCUUUAAUACAGUGAAGUAUCUUUUCUUAUAUGUCAAGGUGGCAAAAAAAUUUUUUUUUCAAGACAGGGUUUCUCUGUGUAGCCCUACCUGCCCUGGAACUCACUCUGUAGACCAGGCUGGCCUCAAACUCAGAGAGAUCUGCCUGCCUCUGCCUCCCGAGUGCUGGGAUUAAAGGUAUGCACCAUCA